RNAcentral lists this ribosomal RNA (492 nucleotides) under uncultured bacterium. Its description in RNAcentral is "partial 16S ribosomal RNA". It matches the Rfam family "Bacterial small subunit ribosomal RNA", at positions 29 to 507 of the family's 1533-position model. The record is from RNAcentral.
AGUGAACGCUGGCGGUAGGCCUAACACAUGCAAGUCGAACGGCAGCACAGUAAGAGCUUGCUCUUACGGGUGGCGAGUGGCGGACGGGUGAGGAAUACAUCGGAAUCUACUUUUUCGUGGGGGAUAACGUAGGGAAACUUACGCUAAUACCGCAUACGACCUACGGGUGAAAGCAGGGGAUCUUCGGACCUUGCGCGAUUGAAUGACCCGAUGUCGGAUUAGCUAGUUGGCGGGGUAAAGGCCCACCAAGGCGACGAUCCGUAGCUGGUCUGAGAGGAUGAUCAGCCACACUGGAACUGAGACACGGUCCAGACUCCUACGGGAAGCAGCAGUGGGGAAUAUUGGACAAUGGGCGCAAGCCUGAUCCAGCCAUACCGCGUGGGUGAAGAAGGCCUUCGGGUUGUAAAGCCCUUUUGUUGGGAAAGAAAAGCAGCAGGUUAAUACCCCGCUGCUCUGACGGUACCCAAAGAAUAAGCACCGGCUAACUUCGUG